AGCCUGAACGCUGGCGGCGUGGCUAAGACAUGCAAGUCGAACGGAUGUAGCAAUACAUCAGUGGCGGACGGGUGAGUAAUGUAUCGCUAACGUGCCCUAGAGCCAGGGAUAGCUGUCCGAAAGGACAGGUAAUACCUGAUGAUAUACCUUUGUCGCAUGACAGAGUUCUCAAAGCAGCAAUGCACUCUUGGAGCGGGCGAGUAUCGGUAUCAGCUAGUUGGUGAGGUAACGGCUCACCAAGGCUAUGACGGGUAGCUGGUCUGAGAGGACGACCAGCCACACUGGAACUGAGACACGGUCCAGACACCUACGGGUGCAGCAGUCGAGAAUUUUUUCUCAAUGGGGAAACCCUGAAGGAGCGACGCCGCGUGGAGGAUGAAGGUCUUCGGAUUGUAAACUCCUGUCAUUAGGGAACAAUUGCCAGCGAUUAACUGUCGCGGGCUUGAUAGUACCUGAAGAGGAAGAGACGGCUAACG
Molecule: ribosomal RNA, 476 nt
Filed under: uncultured bacterium
Lineage: Bacteria
Description: SSU rRNA
Rfam family: Bacterial small subunit ribosomal RNA
Source: RNAcentral